UGUGCCAGCAGCCGCGGUAAUACGUAGGGUGCGAGCGUUGUCCGGAAUUACUGGGCGUAAAGAGCUCGUAGGUGGUUUGUCGGCGUUGUUCGCUGAAAACGUCACAGCUCUAACUGUGGCGCAGUGCGGGGCGAAUACGGGGCAAGAUCUAGAAGUACCUGUCAGGGGAGACCUGGAAAUUUCCCUGGUGUUAGCCGGGUCGGAAAUGGCGCCAGAAAUAUCAGGNUAGGAACACNCGGUGGCGAAGGCGGGUCUCUGGGCAGUAACUGACGCUGAGGAGCGAAAGCGUGGGGAGCGAACAGGAUUAGAUACCCUGGUAGUCCACGCCGUAAACGGUGGGUACUAGGUGUGGGUUCCUUCCUUGGGAUCCGUGCCGUAGCUAACGCAUUAAGUACCCCGCCUGGGGAGUACGGCCGCAAGGCUAAAACUCAAAGGAAUUGACGGGGGCCCGCACAAGCGGCGGAGCAUGUGGAUUAAUUCGAUGCAACGCGAAGAACCUUACCUGGGUUUGACAUGCACAGACGCCGGCAGAGAUGUCGU
Molecule: ribosomal RNA, 540 nt
Filed under: uncultured organism
Description: SSU rRNA
Rfam family: Bacterial small subunit ribosomal RNA
Source: RNAcentral